RNAcentral lists this small RNA (151 nucleotides) under Daucus carota subsp. sativus. RNAcentral's name for it is "sRNA DCAR_mi00157". The record is from RNAcentral. Lineage: Eukaryota; Viridiplantae; Streptophyta; Magnoliopsida; Apiales; Apiaceae.
GGUGUGUAGAAUGAAGUUUGAUCCAAGAUCGAUUUUUCCAUGUUCUCUUGACACACAAUCGCAUGUAUGUAUGUACAUAGUAUGUAUACAUGAGCGAAAAUGUGAAACAUGUGUAUGGAUAGAUCUCGGACCAGGCUUCAUUCUUGACACU